Molecule: long non-coding RNA, 1647 nt
Filed under: Acanthaster planci (crown-of-thorns starfish)
Lineage: Eukaryota; Metazoa; Echinodermata; Asteroidea; Valvatida; Acanthasteridae
Description: uncharacterized LOC110988702, transcript variant X3
Source: RNAcentral
AUAAAAGACAUCCUCUCCAGCAUUGAACAGAGCCGAGUUGAUGGAAUUGAAGUAGGCCUAUUCAAUCGAGCGUCAUCUUUUUCGUAGGGACGCGAACUUUUCCCAAAUCGUUCAGGAACCAGAAGCACUUUCCUCCAUGGCACCUGUACGUUGAUGUUUCUUAUUCCUCUUUUUGGCAACAGCACUUUUAUUGUUUCAAGAAAUGUCGUUGCAUUCCAAAUAGAGAAAACUACACUUUGGAAAGAAUUGUACAGAACAAAGCUAGCCAGUUCCAUUUUUUAAAAACCUCUCUGAAGUAAGGCCAGAACAAUUAUCUAAUCGAGUGGUGUAUGUGAUUUACUGUGAGCCCCCCUGCAAGGCACCAGCCCAACUAGCUCCAGGUACCCUGUCUCUGAGGUGAUCUGAUCUGACUAGGGUUGCAAUGAUCCCUACGCGUGCUGAUCGAGACAUCAGCAGCCGAGAAGAAAGAUCGUAUAGCGCCGAUCGAGUGAAGCCACAUUCGAACAUCCAGAGACUUGCUGGUAGGAGCAGGUGGUACCCAUGGGGAGGCCGGGUCAGAGUGUGGACCAUUGGCAGAGGGGAGCCCUGGCAGCUAGGAUAGUGUGACACCGGGCUAUACCCAGAACAGACCCUGUGCCACAGCCGGUCUGGACUACCGAGAGGUGGACAUGGAGAUCACAUUCUGGAAGCAAGUACAUGUAGCAAGUCUGAAGUUUUUCUCACUGGCAGACUUCAUAGGAGGGGUACGCAUCACCCAGGGCCAAAGCGACAGGUGGACUGAAGUGCCACCCCUUCUCCCCAGAUGCCUAUGAAUCCACCAGAAGUCCUCGAAAAGCCAUCCAGUCACAUGCUAUUCAACUACAUGCAAGCUGUCACACACAGGCAUCCCCUUUGCAAUGGUUCACCUCACGCUUGUGCUAGGUCUUGUGAAAGGGCUCUUGAUGGAGUCGACUUCAACACCAGUUUCUUCUACAUCUUUUUCAACUUUAAUAUUUCAUUUGCCGCUUCCCCGUGUUCAGGGUUCACUCACUUCACUAUCGUCGUGAGCGACAACUUCAACGGAGUGAUCAGCUUUGAGCGAGAAUCGAAGAUGCCCAGCCCUCUGUUACGCUCACACUCAAAAGAGGGCAGGCUUUCUUUGGUGAAGUCAUACUGAGUCUCCCCAGCCAUCAUUUGCAUUAAAUAAAUUACUCUUUAAGUUUUGCUGAAAAGCAUGACUCAGUUUGAACGUCUGGAAAAGAUAAAGUUUCGUGAGCAGGAAGAUUAUGUCAAUUUCAGGUGAAGUGGCGAGCGACGCACAGUCCAAUUCGGGGACAUCACCAAUGAUGCUGAUCUCUAUACACAACUCGGGGAAGUGGAGGGCAUGGUGACAUGCCCAGCCGACCAGUGACUGUGCACGUUUGUUGUCGGUGGCUACCGGUGGGGCCGUUGUCCACACCCAUCGCGGCAGCCAGCAUCACCCUCGUGGAAGACGAUCGGAUUGUCUGAUAUCUGGGACAACCACUACAGCCCUCUCGUUGGUCUGAGUGACAACAACAUCUACAACAUCCUCCUGGGCAUGGUGGAACAUGGCAGGGCUAGCUAGGGGCCAGGUGACCGAGGAGCAGCUGGCCGUUGUCAUGGAUACCAUUCGGAUGGUCGGUGCUU